RNAcentral lists this ribosomal RNA (468 nucleotides) under uncultured bacterium. Its description in RNAcentral is "partial 16S ribosomal RNA". It matches the Rfam family "Bacterial small subunit ribosomal RNA", at positions 28 to 507 of the family's 1533-position model. The record is from RNAcentral.
GACGAACGCUGGCGGCGUGCUUAACACAUGCAAGUCGAACGGAAAGGCCCUGCUUUUGUGGGGUGCUCGAGUGGCGAACGGGUGAGUAACACGUGAGUAACCUGCCCUUGACUUUGAGAUAACUUCAGGAAACUGGGGCUAAUACCGGAUAGGAGCUCCUGCUGCAUGGUGGGGGUUGGAAAGUUUCGGCGGUUGGGGAUGGACUUGCGGCUUAUCAGCUUGUUGGUGGGGUAGUGGCUUACCAAGGCUUUGACGGGUAGCCGGCCUGAGAGGGUGACCGGCCACAUUGGGACUGAGAUACGGCCCAGACUCCUACGGGAGGCAGCAGUGGGGAAUAUUGCACAAUGGGCGGAAGCCUGAUGCAGCAACGCCGCGUGCGGGAUGACGGCCUUCGGGUUGUAAACCGCUUUCGCCUGUGACGAAGCGUGAGUGACGGUAAUGGGUAAAGAAGCACCGGCUAACUACGUG